UGGGGAAUAUUGGACAAUGGGCGAAACCCUGAUGCAGCCAUGCCGCGUGUGUGAAGAAGGCCUUCGGGUUGUAAAGCACUUUCAGCGAGGAGGAAAGGUUGAUGCCUAAUACGCAUCAGCUGUGACGUUACUCGCAGAAGAAGCACCGGCUAACUCCGUGCCAG
This 164-nucleotide ribosomal RNA is filed under the name uncultured bacterium. RNAcentral's name for it is "partial 16S ribosomal RNA". It matches the Rfam family "Bacterial small subunit ribosomal RNA", at positions 355 to 511 of the family's 1533-position model. The record is from RNAcentral.